This 460-nucleotide ribosomal RNA is filed under the name uncultured bacterium. Its description in RNAcentral is "partial 16S ribosomal RNA". It matches the Rfam family "Bacterial small subunit ribosomal RNA", at positions 338 to 795 of the family's 1533-position model. The record is from RNAcentral.
CCUACGGGUGGCAGCAGUGAGGAAUAUUGGUCAAUGGACGAGAGUCUGAACCAGCCAAGUAGCGUGAAGGAUGACUGCCCUAUGGGUUGUAAACUUCUUUUAUAUGGGAAUAAAACGUUCCACGUGUGGGAUUUUGUAUGUACCAUAUGAAUAAGGAUCGGCUAACUCCGUGCCAGCAGCCGCGGUAAUACGGAGGAUCCGAGCGUUAUCCGGAUUUAUUGGGUUUAAAGGGAGCGUAGGUGGAUUGUUAAGUCAGUUGUGAAAGUUUGCGGCUCAACCGUAAAAUUGCAGUUGAACAUGGCAGUCUUGAGUACAGUAGAGGUGGGCGGAAUUCGUGGUGUAGCGGUGAAAUGCUUAGAUAUCACGAAGAACUCCGAUUGCGAAGGCAGUUCACUGGACUGCAACUGACACUGAGGCUCGAAAGUGUGGGUAUCAAACAGGAGUAGAUACCCGAGUAGUC